ACGCAGAAAUUGCAGUUCUUGGCAGUGAUCUUGGAAGUGAUGAAACCCAGAAAACGCUAGAUUUGGCUGGAACUGUUGUUGUUUCACUCUCAGCUAACCAUCUUCAAAAGUUGCGUUUUUCUUUUCAGUUGACAACCACCUACCACUGACCUGCCAUCAUUCAAGGAACCUGCAUCAAGCCAACAUCUAACCUAACUAAUAUCAUGCUCAGACUAACACCAGAUGUAAAUGGCUUACCACAUCCUCUAGCCAAAACCAAACAUAUCCUGCAGUAUGUGAGAGACACCAACUCAACAUAUAUUCAUGAACCUCCAUACUUCAAAGGCAUGACCAUGGAUCCUCCUGGACCUCAUGGUGUGAAAGAUGCUUAUUGCCUGCUGAAUUUUGGUGACAGUAUAACAACUGAUCACAUUUCUCCUGCUGGAAACAUUAACAGGGACAGUCCUGCUCACGGUACACCACAUCACCUAGCCAAAGCCUCCAACCUGCCAUCAGACAACAAACUGCAGCAUACAAUAACAUCCUAAGCUACAAUGCAGUCCAGUACAACAACCUGCAAUUCCAAGCUUGCACAAGCAAACCAGUUUAGAACCAGGAACAAGGUGUGCUGCAGAAUUGAGCAACAAAGAGUGCAAGUUUUCUUACCGACUCCAAGGCUUUCUGGAGAGUAAGAAUUGAAGCAGCAUUUGCAUUGGCGAAUUCGGCAUCCGAGGAAACUGAUUUUUCUGGUCUACUCCAUUUGGUGAAAUUUUUACAAGAAUCGAAGAUUUGAUUCUGACAUUGCACCUCCAAAGCCAUUGAACCUCAACCAAACCAACUGAGUUUUCUAAAAAAAUUCACUGCAGUAAAAAGUGGAGAGUUACUCAAAGCAGUAAAAUUCAAAAUCCAGAAAUUCCCAAAUGGGAAUUAAAACAAAAACAGAGAGGAAUGCUCAGAUGCUCAGAUUACCUGUCUCAAAUCCAUACAUCGAAGGGGUCAAUCCAGUUUCUGAACAUCAAAAGUGCUUUGCAGAGUUACUCUUCUGGAUUACCAAAGGCACCUUUGAAACC
RNAcentral lists this long non-coding RNA (1049 nucleotides) under Lathyrus oleraceus (garden pea). RNAcentral's name for it is "Pisum sativum (pea) long non-coding RNA (PSAT_LNC020981)". The record is from RNAcentral. Lineage: Eukaryota; Viridiplantae; Streptophyta; Magnoliopsida; Fabales; Fabaceae.